Molecule: ribosomal RNA, 497 nt
Filed under: uncultured bacterium
Lineage: Bacteria
Description: partial 16S ribosomal RNA
Rfam family: Bacterial small subunit ribosomal RNA
Source: RNAcentral
GAUGAACGCUGGCGGCGUGCCUAAUACAUGCAAGUCGAGCGAACGGACGAGAAGCUUGCUUCUCUGAUGUUAGCGGCGGACGGGUGAGUAACACGUGGAUAACCUACCUAUAAGACUGGGAUAACUUCGGGAAACCGUAGCUAAUACCGGAUAAUAUUUUGAACCGCAUGGUUCAAAAGUGAAAGACGGUCUUGCUGUCACUUAUAGAUGGAUCCGCGCUGCAUUAGCUAGUUGGUAAGGUAACGGCUUACCAAGGCAACGAUGCAUAGCCGACCUGAGAGGGUGAUCGGCCACACUGGAACUGAGACACGGUCCAGACUCCUACGGGAGGCAGCAGUAGGGAAUCUUCCGCAAUGGGCGAAAGCCUGACGGAGCAACGCCGCGUGAGUGAUGAAGGUCUUCGGAUCGUAAAACUCUGUUAUUAGGGAAGAACAUAUGUGUAAGUAACUGUGCACAUCCUGACGGUACCUAAUCAGAAAGCCACGGCUAACUACGUG